Long non-coding RNA from Cavia porcellus (domestic guinea pig), 5674 nucleotides. RefSeq lists it as uncharacterized. NCBI's taxonomy places the organism in Eukaryota, Metazoa, Chordata, Mammalia, Rodentia, Caviidae. The transcript is spliced from 6 exons. The record is from RefSeq and is a predicted model, not a curated record.
CUGUCUCCCUGUCUGCAUAGAGAAAGCAGCUUCCGGCUCAGGAAAACAAAGGUUUGUUAGGCUGCUGCCAACCAAUGCCCUCCUGGGGUGUACAUGGAGUGUAUCCCAAAGCCUGAACCCCCAGGAGGAGGACAAGACAAGCAGGUGGCAGAAACCAGUACUCAGUCCAAAACCUGAGGUCCAUUAGGCUUGUUUGUAGACAAUCUCCAGGUCUGCCUUCCUUUAAAAUCUACAUUACCAGGAGCUGUACACACUAGCAAAGACCUUUGAAGCACUGGGACAAGGAGAAGCAAUCAAGAGUCAUCACUAAAAAUGAAGCAGACCUUCUAUAAGGAUGAAAUAGGAGCUAGUCGUGUCAACAAAGGAACAUCUUGAACAGAACAAAGCUUGUGCUUUGAAGCAGAAAGAGGUUGAUUCCCGAGACCACAGUGGCUAGAUUUUGGGGACAAGAAAACAGGACGGAUGAAAAAUGUGUCCUAUGUUUCCAACUUGGGCAGCUGGCUGGACAAUAGAACUAUGGACUGAGAGAACAUAAGAUGAGAAGCCACAUUGAACGAGCCCACAAAUGCUCCACACUGAAUCAAAGACAGCUUGGCUGGCUGAACCGAAGAAGACCUCUCCAGAAGUCUCUGGUCUUCAUAACGCUAACUGAACAGAACCUGAAGCUGUGAGCACAGCAUUGAAACAUCCCCCACAAAGGAGGGCAAUGGGGUGCCUGUACAGCAAGGCUCACAACAGUGAAAAAAGAACAUAGAAUAUAGAAAAUCCAAUGAGAAGGCCAGCAGAACAUCUGCUGGAGAAAAGGUGAAUCUGGGAGCUACUUUGGUGAGCAUGAACUCUUUUUUUAUUAAAAAAUUAAAAGAAAGAAGGAGAUUAAGAUAAAAGAGGACAUAACAACAUAAAAACACAGGUCAGAACAGAACAAUUUAAGGAACAUAGUGUUUCACCACAAAAUAACCCAACAUAACAGUAGCUACCGUAGUGUCUCUUUCCUUGAAAUAUUUAAGUAUAACUUCAUAUAUUAUAGCAUCAAACACAGCAUGACAGUGUAAAAUCAUUCAAGAGAAUGAAAGUAUUACAGGGUAUUUAGAACCAACAGAAAAUGAACAAUGGCUUCUAUAUUAUCUCCUUGUCUAUAAAAAUUUUGUUUAUACUAUCACAUAUAAUAAAAUCCAAUUAGAUACAACAUGAUAAACUGAUGGAGACAGAAGAACAAAAGCUUCAGAGCAUGAACACUUUAAGGAGUAUUUAAGAUGCAAGAACAACAGAGAUUACCAGUACUGGGGAUUUCAGAGAACAGUGGUCAAUUAAGUGGUUCCAGGGGGUUGAGAUCACAAUGCAUCCCAGAAACACCAUCAGUGUCUCUCUAUGUUGGUGACAGUCUGUGCUGACAAACUAAAGUAAUUACUUUUGUCCUCUUGGGUUUUUGAGCACCCACUUCAAUCAAAUAAAAAGGUUAAAACAAGAGCUAAAUGUGCUCCUUUGUCACCAUGUCAUUGUGCUUGAUGGCAGCAUGCACGUGUGCAGAGGCUGGUUCAUUUAAGCUUUUGGGAGCCAAGUGACAAAGGUGGUCAAUUGGAACACUCAAAAACAGCAAUUGUCCAAAGAACUGAGGACAGGAACAUUUGAAAUCAAUAUACCUUGAAAAACGAAAGUGCAGUUCAUUACAUUCCUAUUAUAAUUUUAUUUUGCUCUUGCGUUAGCCAGAAAAUAGUAAUGGCAGUUGAAAAGCAUGUGUUUACUGAUUCUUUACCUCCUGGCAUUUUGUUUUGUUGCAUUUACUUUACUGCCUUUUCAUCUAAGACCAUGUGUAAUAUAUUUUUAUAAUACAAGUCCAGGGGAAACAUUCCACUAUAAUGUUCAUCCUCUAGUUGUAUGACCUUGAGGAAACCAAUUCACAAAAAGCAGGCUUUAAAAGAUGAAAUGAAUUUCAGUAUCAUCUUCAAACUCUCACUUUCCAAAUGAAGAAGAGAAAUACCAAUGUCUGCAGUGAAGUGAAGGUAGGAUUUAGUUCUAGAGACCUAUUCAUUCCCUGUUAGUGACUUUUUAGUUGUUAAUUUUAGUUCAAUUUGACUCAAUUUCUUUCUGCUCAGUUAACAUCUAAGGAGUGCCAUGUAUGCAAGGACACUUAUUUAUUUAACAUCAGAAAUUUAAUACUGAGAGUAAUAAUAGAAAAAGUAUGAAUUUUGAGAUCAGAACCAUUUCAAAUCUUACCUCAACCUCUUAUGUAUGAGCUGUCAUUUUUUUUUUUUUUUGUCUUUUUCUUUUUUUUAUCGGUACCAGGGAUCGAACUCACGACUGCCUGCUUGCAAGGCAGACGCUUAUGCCACUGAGCUAAAUCCCCAGCCCGAGCUGUCAUUUUUUUUACAAAGUUACCAGAACAUCCAUGUCCAUAAUUAUAAAAGUAGAUUCUGACCACCUACCUCUCAGAAUUAUAAAACUUAAUGAAAUUAUGGGUGAAAAAAUCCCAGGUCAGUCUUAACAUGAUUGUUUUAUCUAAUCCCCAUUUCCCUCCUUUAGGACCUACUGUUUAGUCCUCUUGUAUAUCCCCAUGGCUCUUUGUAAUGCAAUCAAUUAUACCACUUAUGAAACUGUCCUAUAAUUAUCUACUUCUGUCUGUGAAUAAGUCUGUAGUACUUUGACAGGAAGAUCUUGUGUUAUUUAUUACUGGCCAUCAAAAGUGAUAAGAGAGAAGAGCUAAAUAUGGCAGAUAGUUAAGCAGCAGCAUACAGAGCCUCCCUGAGCUCUGAGGCUCUUGCACCUCAAUGACCAACAGCAAACUGGAGAGGGCAGAAAUCCCUGGCCAGUGCAUUUCAGAAGAACCAUACCAACAGCAAAGUGGCUGGGACCUCCACUGUACAUCUGUAAGGAAAAAAACCAAAAACAUAACAAGAGAAAGAAAUAAGAAAACACCCCAAGCCCCCAGUGAGUAUUGAUCCAGGAGAGGUAAAUACAGAGGAUACUGAGGGAAGCAAACAUGCAAUAUCAGACAUGGCAUCACUGGACAUAAAGAGAUAUCUUCACAACUUCAUAAAGGAGUUUAAAACUGAAAUGUUAAUUCAAGUAAAGCAAGAUAUAAGAAGAUUAAUAAAAGAAAUGCUAAACACCUCUCAAGAAGACACAGACAGAAGAAUAGAGGGACACAAAAAAGGAGAGAAACAUUCAAUGAAGAAUAUAAAGAAAAUCUAGAACACAUGAAGCAGAUUCAAUGAGAUUACCAGGAAAUUAAAAACUCCAUUGAAAGCUGGCAAAACUGCUUGAAAGAAACUAAGGAAAGACUAUCAAAACUUGAAGGUAGGUUUGCAAUGUAUGAUCAUGAAAGGAAGAUCUCUUAAAAAUAACAAGGAAAACAGGAAAUAACAAUACAAAGGCUAGAAGAUGACAAGAGGAUCUAUAACUUAAGGAUAAAAUAUGUAAGUGAAGAAGCAGGGAUAAAAAUAAAGGAAUGACAAAGGCUAUUCACAGAAAUAAAUAAGGAAAACUUCCCAAACAUAGGAAACGGAAAUGAUAUUCAGAUGUAUGAGGCAUAGAGAACUCCAGCCAGUUAUAACGAAAACAAAGCUACACCCAGGCAUGUAAUAAUCAAGAUCCCAGAAAUUCAAUAUGAGAACAGAAUAUUAAAAGCCAUCAAAGAAAAGAAACAGAUCACCUGUAAAGGAAAACCCAUCAAAAUCAUAGCAGACUUCUCAACACAGACCAUCAAAUCAAGAAGAGCUUGGAGGGAAGUAUUCCAAGCACUGAAAGAAAAUAACCUCCUGCCCAGAUUGAUGCACCCUGAAAAACUGUCUCUAGAAAUUAAUGGAGAAACAAGAUGCUUCCAAGACAAAGAGGAACUGAAGGAAUUUGCGAUCACCAAUCCAACUCUACAGAGAUUUCUCCAGGACAUUAUAGAGAGAGAGAAAGUAAUGGGAUGCCAGGAACAGUGGCAUAGAGGCCUCAAUGAAUGGGGCAGACAGUGGAAUGAAGGAGGAAAGUAGACAAUUAACAGCAGAAAAAUAGCAUAGCAGAAAUGAGACACAGAAGGUUUGCUAUAAUCUCUAACAUAGACGGCCUUGAUACACUAAAAAAAAAAAAAAAAAAAGAAAAGAAAAGAAAAAAGAAACACAGGCAGAGUAGAUCAGGAGGUAGGGUCCACUGAGAUGCUCUAUAUAGGAAAUAUAAUUAACCUGAAAAAAGAUUUAUGGAUCAAAAGUCAAAUAUGAGAAAACAAUGCUCUAUGUGACAGAGAAUGAGACAGAAAUAGGAGCAACUCAACCAGCACCUGCAGAUAGGUUGGAAAGACAGGAUACUUAUGUGCAGUAGAGAACUACUCAGCUAUAAUGAAGGAAAACCUUGAGGCUUUUGUAGGUAAAGGAAUACAACUUGAGAUCAAGUCCAAGAGUGAGGAGGUUUGGAACCACUUAGGUAACUAGCAGGUUGCGCCCCCCCCCCCCGGCCCAAUCUAAAAACUUUGGGAGUUGGUAAGACCCAAAAUGCGCAGUGCACCCUGUGAGAGUGAAAGGGGAAGAAUAGUCUAAAAAAAAAAAAAAAAAAAAAAAGAAGGCAGAAGAUAUUGUUAAUAGUGCAACAGGAUUUAAAAUCCACAUUACUCACACCAUUCUGUUUAGAUGGGUUAUAUUUUGUUUCAGCUUGUGUACGUGUACUAGAUUUGAGAGCACAGACAGCUAUCCUGAAAAUAGCAGGAUGUAGUAUGAUAAUCAUUCUUAAUUUCCUAUUAACUUAAUCUGAAGCCCUGUAUAACUUACACUGUUUUAUCAUAACUGAUCUUAUUUGAAUCUGGUUUGUUAGAUUGCUGUUUUGUAUAGACGGAUUUUAUUUGAAUCUGUUAUGAUUGAUAGUAUCAAUUCUAAGAGUCUAGGCAGCUACACUGAAGAUGACACGAUUCGCCAGGAUACCCACUCUGGUUUGAUUAUUACCUGCUUUUGAAGUUUUACACUGUCUACAAAGUUUUGUUUUUAUUAAUAUUGUUAUAUGCUGCUAUGUUCAAUUAUACUAUGCCUGAUGAUAUAGACAAUUCUAUUGAAGAUAACAAGAGACAACACAGUAACCACUGUUGAUCACCUUGUACUGUGAUUUUAUAUGACUUUUGGUUUCAUGCUUUUAAUAGGAAUUUGUUUUGUUUUUCCCUCAAAUGCAGAAAGGAUAGAAAUACAUGUAGAGAUUCAUGCAUGCGUAGAACCUAAAAACAGUUUAUGAGAACUGAUUAUAUAAUGCAUGAUGAACAACUACUUUGAAGAAGAGACACUAUAAUACCCAGUGCUGAUUCUGGCAUAUAUUAUGCCAGCAUCAUGACGUGAAAUCCAGCAAUACUAUUAUUCUUUAUUCAGAGUAAUUUUAGCCUGUUUUGUUUUGUUUAAUUUCAACAUACAUGAAGGUAUGGACAGCUAUUUUGAAGAGAAUGAGAGACACUAUGACAGCCAUUGUCGACUUCCCUAUUGUCUAGUCUUGAAGACCUAAAACACCUUCCUCAUCCUGUUUGGAUCAGUUUUAUAUUAUGUUGUUUCUCUGUAUAUGAAGAUAUGGACAACUGUUUGGAAGAAAACAAGAGGCAAUAUGAUUGAUAGUAAAGAUCUCUGGUUGUCCUGCUUUGAAAUUUAUGCCUCUUACAUUGCUUUCUUAUGUUGUUUUGUUGUUAAUUUUACCCUCUUUAAAAUAAAAAAAUUUUAAGUGAUAA